GACGAACGCUGGCGGCGUGCCUAAUACAUGCAAGUUGAGCGCUGAAGGUUGGUACUUGUACCAACUGGAUGAGCAGCGAACGGGUGAGUAACGCGUGGGGAAUCUGCCUUUGAGCGGGGGACAACAUUUGGAAACGAAUGCUAAUACCGCAUAAAAACUUUAAACACAAGUUUUAAGUUUGAAAGAUGCAAUUGCAUCACUCAAAGAUGAUCCCGCGUUGUAUUAGCUAGUUGGUGAGGUAAAGGCUCACCAAGGCGAUGAUACAUAGCCGACCUGAGAGGGUGAUCUGCCACAUUGGGACGGAGACACGGCCCAAACUCCUACGGGAGGCAGCAGUAGGGAAUCUUCGGCAAUGGACGAAAGUCUGACCGAGCGACGCGGCGUGAGUGAAGAAGGUUGUCGGAUCGUAAAACUCUGUUGGUAGAGAAGAACGUUGGUGAGAGUGGAAAGCUCAUCAAGUGACGGUAACUACCCAGAAAGGGACGGCUAACUACGUG
This 497-nucleotide ribosomal RNA is filed under the name uncultured bacterium. Its description in RNAcentral is "partial 16S ribosomal RNA". It matches the Rfam family "Bacterial small subunit ribosomal RNA", at positions 28 to 507 of the family's 1533-position model. The record is from RNAcentral.